CCUGGUUGAUUCUGCCAGUAGUCAUAUGCUUGUCUCAAAGAUUAAGCCAUGCAUGUCUAAGUAUAAGCAAUUAUACAGCGAAACUGCGAAUGGCUCAUUAUAUAAGUUAUCGUUUAUUUGAUAGUACCUUACUACUUGGAUAACCGUGGUAAUUCUAGAGCUAAUACAUGCUAAAAAUCCCGACUCCGGAAGGGAUGUAUUUAUUAGAUUAAAAACCAAUGCCCCCUGGGCUCUCUGGUGAUUCAUAAUAACUUCUCGAAUCGCAUGGCCUUGUGCCGGCGAUGGUUCAUUCAAAUUUCUUCCCUAUCAACUUUCGAUGUUUGGGUAGUGGCCAAACAUGGUUGCAACGGGUAACGGAGGGUUAGGGCUCGACCCCGGAGAAGGAGCCUGAGAAACGGCUACUACAUCCAAGGAAGGCAGCAGGCGCGCAAAUUACCCAAUCCCGAUUCGGGGAGGUAGUGACAAUAAAUACCGAUACAGGGCUCUUUUGGGUCUUGUAAUUGGAAUGAGUACAAUUUAAAUCCCUUAACGAGGAACAAUUGGAGGGCAAGUCUGGUGCCAGCAGCCGCGGUAAUUCCAGCUCCAAUAGCGUAUAUUAAAGUUGUUGUGGUUAAAAAGCUCGUAGUUGAACCUUGGGCCUGGCUGGCCGGUCCGCCUCACCGCGUGUACUGGUCCGGCCGGGCCUUUCCCUCUGUGGAACCCCAUGCCCUUCACUGGGCGUGGCGGGGAAACAGGACUUUUACUUUGAAAAAAUUAGAGUGCUCCAGGCAGGCCUAUGCUCGAAUACAUUAGCAUGGAAUAAUGAAAUAGGACGCGCGGUUCUAUUUUGUUGGUUUCUAGGACCGCCGUAAUGAUUAAUAGGGACAGUCGGGGGCAUCAGUAUUCAAUUGUCAGAGGUGAAAUUCUUGGAUUUAUUGAAGACUAACUACUGCGAAAGCAUUUGCCAAGGAUGUUUUCAUUAAUCAGGAACGAAAGUUAGGGGAUCGAAGACGAUCAGAUACCGUCGUAGUCUUAACCAUAAACUAUGCCGACUAGGGAUCGGACGAUGUUAUUUUUUGACUCGUUCGGCACCUUACGAGAAAUCAAAGUGCUUGGGCUCCAGGGGGAGUAUGGUCGCAAGGCUGAAACUUAAAGAAAUUGACGGAAGGGCACCACCAGGGGUGGAGCCUGCGGCUUAAUUUGACUCAACACGGGGAAACUCACCAGGUCCAGACACAAUGAGGAUUGACAGAUUGAGAGCUCUUUCUUGAUUUUGUGGGUGGUGGUGCAUGGCCGUUCUUAGUUGGUGGAGUGAUUUGUCUGCUUAAUUGCGAUAACGAACGAGACCUUAACCUGCUAAAUAGCCCGUAUUGCUUUGGCAGUACGCUGGCUUCUUAGAGGGACUAUCGGCUCAAGCCGAUGGAAGUUUGAGGCAAUAACAGGUUGACCUACAC
This 1433-nucleotide ribosomal RNA is filed under the name Epichloe amarillans E57. RNAcentral's name for it is "SSU rRNA". It matches the Rfam family "Eukaryotic small subunit ribosomal RNA", at positions 3 to 1470 of the family's 1831-position model. Lineage: Eukaryota; Fungi; Ascomycota; Sordariomycetes; Hypocreales; Clavicipitaceae. The record is from RNAcentral.